Molecule: ribosomal RNA, 419 nt
Filed under: uncultured bacterium
Lineage: Bacteria
Description: bacterial SSU rRNA
Rfam family: Bacterial small subunit ribosomal RNA
Source: RNAcentral
GGGCCCGCACAAGCGGUGGAGUAUGUGGUUUAAUUCGAUGCAACGCGAGGAACCUUACCAGGGCUUAAAUGUAGUAUGACCGGCUUGGAAACAGGCCUUCUCUUCGGAGCAGAUUACAAGGUGCUGCAUGGUUGUCGUCAGCUCGUGCCGUGAGGUGUUAGGUUAAGUCCUGCAACGAGCGCAACCCCUAUUCUUAGUUGCCAGCGGUUCGGCCGGGGACUCUAAGAAGACUGCCAGCGCAAGCUGAGAGGAAGGUGGGGAUGACGUCAAAUCAUCACGGCCCUUACGUCCUGGGCUACACACGUGCUACAAUGGUAGAGACAGAGGGCAGCCACCUGGUGACAGGGAGCGAAUCCUUAAACUCUAUCUCAGUUCGGAUCGCAGUCUGCAACUCGACUGCGUGAAGCUGGAAUCGCUAG